GACGAACGCUGGCGGCGUGCCUAAUACAUGCAAGUAGAACGCUGAAGAGAGGAGCUUGCUCUUCUUGGAUGAGUUGCGAACGGGUGAGUAACGCGUAGGUAACCUGCCUUGUAGCGGGGGAUAACUAUUGGAAACGAUAGCUAAUACCGCAUAACAAUGGAUGACUCAUGUCAUUUAUUUGAAAGGGGCAAAUGCUCCACUACAAGAUGGACCUGCGUUGUAUUAGCUAGUAGGUAAGGUAACGGCUCACCUAGGCGACGAUACAUAGCCGACCUGAGAGGGUGAUCGGCCACACUGGGACUGAGACACGGCCCAGACUCCUACGGGAGGCAGCAGUAGGGAAUCUUCGGCAAUGGGGGCAACCCUGACCGAGCAACGCCGCGUGAGUGAAGAAGGUUUUCGGAUCGUAAAGCUCUGUUGUAAGUCAAGAACGAGUGUGAGAGUGGAAAGUUCACACUGUGACGGUAGCUUACCAAAAAAGGGACGGCUAACUACGUGCCAGCAGCCCCGGGUAAUACGUAGGUCCCCAGCGUUUGUCCGGAUUUAUUGGGCGGUAAAGCGAGCGCGGGGGGGUUUGAUAAGUCUGAAGUUAA
RNAcentral lists this ribosomal RNA (593 nucleotides) under uncultured Streptococcus sp. RNAcentral's name for it is "bacterial SSU rRNA". It matches the Rfam family "Bacterial small subunit ribosomal RNA", at positions 28 to 598 of the family's 1533-position model. Lineage: Bacteria; Bacillati; Bacillota; Bacilli; Lactobacillales; Streptococcaceae. The record is from RNAcentral.